This 502-nucleotide ribosomal RNA is filed under the name uncultured bacterium. Its description in RNAcentral is "bacterial SSU rRNA". It matches the Rfam family "Bacterial small subunit ribosomal RNA", at positions 24 to 518 of the family's 1533-position model. The record is from RNAcentral.
UCAGGAUGAACGCUAGCUACAGGCUUAACACAUGCAAGUCGAGGGGCAUCAGGAGAAAGCUUGCUUCUUGCUGGCGACCGGCGCACGGGUGAGUAACGCGUAUCCAACCUUCCCCCCAGUAGGGCAUAGCCCGGCGAAAGUCGGAUUAAUACCCUAUGUUGUGUCAUGAGGACAUCUGAAUAACACCAAAGAUUUAUCGCUGGGGGAUGGGGAUGCGUCCGAUUAGGUUGUUGGCGGGGUAACGGCCCACCAAGCCCGCGAUCGGUAGGGGUUCUGAGAGGAAGGUCCCCCACACUGGUACUGAGACACGGACCAGACUCCUACGGGAGGCAGCAGUGAGGAAUAUUGGUCAAUGGACGAGAGUCUGAACCAGCCAAGUAGCGUGCAGGACGACGGCCCUAUGGGUUGUAAACUGCUUUUAUGCGGGGAUAAAGUGAGGUAUGUAUACCUUUUUGUAGGUACCGCAUGAAUAAGGACCGGCUAAUUCCGUGCCAGCCGCUGC